Molecule: ribosomal RNA, 402 nt
Filed under: uncultured bacterium
Lineage: Bacteria
Description: bacterial SSU rRNA
Rfam family: Bacterial small subunit ribosomal RNA
Source: RNAcentral
GUGUCAGCCGCCGCGGUAAUACGGGGGGGGCAAGCGUUGUCCGGAAUUAUUGGGCGUAAAGGGCGCGUAGGGGGAAUGGUAAGUCAGAGGUGAAAUUCUUGCGCUUAACGCAGGAACUGCCUUUGAUACUGCUAUUCUUGAGUAUGGAAGAGGGAAGUGGAAUUCCCGGUGUAGCGGUGAAAUGCGUAGAUAUCGGGAAGAACACCGGUAGCGUAAGCGGCUUCCUGGUCCAUUACUGACGCUGAGGCGCGAAAGUGUGGGGAGCAAACAGGAUUAGAUACCCUGGUAGUCCACACUGUAAACGAUGGGCACUAGAUGUUGGACCGCAGUGCCGCAGCCAACGCGCUAAGUGGACCGCCUGGGGAGUACGGCCGCAAGGCUAAAACUCAAAGGAAUUGGCGG